This 254-nucleotide ribosomal RNA is filed under the name uncultured bacterium. RNAcentral describes it as "partial 16S ribosomal RNA". It matches the Rfam family "Bacterial small subunit ribosomal RNA", at positions 524 to 776 of the family's 1533-position model. The record is from RNAcentral.
UACGUAGGGUGCGAGCGUUGUCCGGAAUUAUUGGGCGUAAAGAGCUCGUAGGCGGUGUGUCACGUCGGCCGUGAAAACCUGCAGCUUAACUGUGGGCGUGCGGUCGAUACGGGCAUCACUGGAGUUCGGCAGGGGAGACUGGAAUUCCUGGUGUAGCGGUGAAAUGCGCAGAUAUCAGGAGGAACACCGGUGGCGAAGGCGGGUCUCUGGGUCGAUACUGACGCUGAGGUGCGAAAGCGUGGGGAGCAAACAGG